AUUGACGCUGCGGCAUGCUUUACACAUGCAAGUCGGCGGCAGCGGGGGUGCUUGCACCUGCCAGCGAGUGCGAACGGGUGAGUAACAUAUCGGAACGUACCGAGCAGUGGGGGAUAACUAAUCGAAAGAUUAGCUAAUACCGCAUAUAUUCUGAGGAAGAAAGCAGGGGACCAUUUGGCCUUGCGCUGUUUGAGCGGCCGAUAUCUGAUUAGCUGGUUGGUGGGGUAAAGGCCUACCAAGGCGACGAUCAGUAGCGGGUCUGAGAGGAUGAUCCGCCACACUGGGACUGAGACACGGCCCAGACUCCUACGGGAGGCAGCAGUGGGGAAUUUUGGACAAUGGGCGCAAGCCUGAUCCAGCCAUGCCGCGUGUCUGAAGAAGGCCUUCGGGUUGUAAAGGACUUUUGUCAGGGAAGAAAAGGACAGGGUUAAUACCCCUGUCUGAUGACGGUACCUGAAGAAUAAGCCCGGCU
RNAcentral lists this ribosomal RNA (472 nucleotides) under Neisseria sp. oral taxon 014. RNAcentral describes it as "bacterial SSU rRNA". It matches the Rfam family "Bacterial small subunit ribosomal RNA", at positions 29 to 498 of the family's 1533-position model. The record is from RNAcentral. Lineage: Bacteria; Pseudomonadati; Pseudomonadota; Betaproteobacteria; Neisseriales; Neisseriaceae.